RNAcentral lists this ribosomal RNA (256 nucleotides) under uncultured bacterium. RNAcentral describes it as "partial 16S ribosomal RNA". It matches the Rfam family "Bacterial small subunit ribosomal RNA", at positions 527 to 779 of the family's 1533-position model. The record is from RNAcentral.
CGGAGGGGCUAGCGUUGUUCGGAAUUACUGGGCGUUAAAGCGCACGUAGGCGGAUUGGCGAAGUUGGGGGUGAAAUCCCAGGGCUCAACCCUGGAACUGCCUCCAAAACUUCCAGUCUUGAGGUCGAGAGAGGUGAGUGGAAUUCCGAGUGUAGAGGUGAAAUUCGUAGAUAUUCGGAGGAACACCCAGUGGCGAAGGCGGCUCACUGGCUCGAUACUGACGCCGAGGUGCGAAAGCGUGGGGAGCAAACAGGAUU